AACUUGUCCAAUAUCCACUAUGAAUCCGUCUGUGAUUUUGAUCCUGUUGUCCGUAACAGCUGGUGCCCUUGUGGUAUUAACCACAGAUGUGGAGGAGGCGCAACACGCUCUUCAGAUUUCAGAUCAAGUUCAAUACGACAAAUGCUUGUCGGAAUGGACUUGCCGAGCGUGCUUGCCGAAGGGUGCCCAGGAGAUUUACGAUACCAAGUGCAGUGAAUUCAAGCAUUUACAAUCUUUCAGCAUUUCAAAAGUCUCUUUUGCCCAGUGUAAAAGAAGAAACCGUCUAGCAAAAUGCGAAAAUUGGAAUAAAUUGUACCCAUUGAGGGAAUGCUGCCUCACAUUGCAUCACUGUGUAAAUGAGUGUGCAGGAGCUUAAGUGAACCGCCAGGAUGAUGAUUAAUCACUCUACACUCGACUGCCACACGACUUUUUUAACGCGUUCUCUAGGUGGCCCUGAAUAACUAUUCGAAACCCUAACCCACUACACUGACCCCAACCCUAGCUGUCAGCCAAUCCCUAACUGAAGCAUAUGCUAAAACACUAACCCUAACAAAAAAUUAGACCAACUUCCUAAUAUGGUCAUUUCAAGUGAUCGAGACAGUUUUUCGCUGAUAUCUCGCCAGGGGAGAAUUUUAACCCUAUGUCAUGUGGGGUGUUUCGAAAACAGCGUUCAAAAAUACAUUGAUUGACGUUGUGUUCGACCGUCGAUGCCCUUUUAGAAAAAUCUUGAAGUUCGAAUGUAGAGUGAUUUAGAACGCUCGCAAGGGUGCAAUAGAAAAUAUGUGUAGAAAUGGGUAAACACUAAACAAUAAUGCCAGUGUCAAAUUGUUUGAUCCAUAAAAAGUU
Long non-coding RNA from Bolinopsis microptera, 846 nucleotides. RefSeq lists it as uncharacterized. The transcript has 3 exons. The record is from RefSeq and is a predicted model, not a curated record. Lineage: Eukaryota; Metazoa; Ctenophora; Tentaculata; Lobata; Bolinopsidae.